This 221-nucleotide long non-coding RNA is filed under the name Eucalyptus grandis. Its description in RNAcentral is "long non-coding RNA (EGRA_LNC001133)". Lineage: Eukaryota; Viridiplantae; Streptophyta; Magnoliopsida; Myrtales; Myrtaceae. The record is from RNAcentral.
CGACAACUUUAUUUUCUUAUGCAACUAAAACUAAAGGUACAGCCGAUGAUUGUUGUACCUAUGAAUUUCCCAAUAAACCGAGCUUGCUUAUAUAUCUAUAUCCACAGUUUUUUGCACAAGAACAAAAUCUACCAUAUGAUGACCCAAGCAUUUAAGUCGACUUUCACUGGCACGACCUCAUGAGAUAGCAAGAUUUGAUCGAGCAUGGAAGCAUGACGACA